Molecule: long non-coding RNA, 95 nt
Organism: Thalassophryne amazonica
Lineage: Eukaryota; Metazoa; Chordata; Actinopteri; Batrachoidiformes; Batrachoididae
Exons: 3
Source: RefSeq, a predicted model, not a curated record
GAUCCGCCUUGGUAUUUGGCACACGUUUCACGCUGGAUGCCCUUCCUGACGCAACUCCAGUUUUACCUGGAAGAGCACACAUUCGCUGGUUCUCC